This 497-nucleotide ribosomal RNA is filed under the name uncultured bacterium. RNAcentral's name for it is "partial 16S ribosomal RNA". It matches the Rfam family "Bacterial small subunit ribosomal RNA", at positions 28 to 507 of the family's 1533-position model. The record is from RNAcentral.
GACGAACGCUGGCGGCGUGCCUAAUACAUGCAAGUCGAGCGCUGACGGUUUGUACUUUUGCCGUCUGGAUGAGCAGCGAACGGGUGAGUAACGCGUGGGUAAUCUUCCUCUUAGCGGGGGACAACAUCUGGAAACGAAUGCUAAUACUGCAUAAUAACUUUAAACACAAGAUUCAAGUUUGAAACAUGCCAUUGCAUCACUCAAAGAUGAUUCCGCGUUGUAUUAGCUAGCUGGUGAGGUAAAGGCCCACCAAGGCGAUGAUACAUAGCCGACCUGAGAGGGUGGUCGGCCACAUUGGGACUGAGAAACGGCCCAAACUCCUUACGGAAGGAGCAGGAGGGGAUCAUCGGAAAAGGACGGAAAUCUGGACGAGCAACGCCGCGUGAGGGAAGGAGGGUUUCGGAUCGGUAAACUCUGUUGGUAGAGAAGGACGUGGAUGAGGGUGAAAAGCUGAUCAAGUGACGGUAACUAACGAGAAAGGGACGGCUAACUACGUG